GCCUGUUAGGCAAACGUGCCUAACCGUUGCGUUUUCGUAAAGCAUAGGUCGUCGGUUCAAAUCCGACAGGCGGGCUCCA
Molecule: transfer RNA, 79 nt
Filed under: Planctomycetota bacterium
Lineage: Bacteria; Pseudomonadati; Planctomycetota
Description: tRNA-Thr
Source: RNAcentral